RNAcentral lists this ribosomal RNA (813 nucleotides) under uncultured bacterium. Its description in RNAcentral is "bacterial SSU rRNA". It matches the Rfam family "Bacterial small subunit ribosomal RNA", at positions 396 to 1207 of the family's 1533-position model. The record is from RNAcentral.
GCCGCGUGCGGGAAGAAGGCCUUCGGGUUGUAAACCGCUUUUAGUCGGGAAGAAAAGGCCAGGCCUAAUACGUCUGGUUCUUGACGGUACCGGCGGAAUAAGCACCGGCUAACUACGUGCCAGCAGCCGCGGUAAUACGUAGGGUGCGAGUGUUAAUCGGAAUUACUGGGCGUAAAGCGUGCGCAGGCGGUUCGUUAAGUCUGAUGUGAAAGCCUCGGGCUCAACCUGGGAAUGGCAUUGGAAACUGGCGGGCUUGAGUGUGGCAGAGGGGGGUGGAAUUCCGCGUGUAGCAGUGAAAUGCGUAGAGAUGCGGAGGAACACCGAUGGCGAAGGCAGCCCCCUGGGCUAACACUGACGCUCAGGCACGAAAGCGUGGGGAGCAAACAGGAUUAGAUACCCUAGUAGUCCACGCCCUAAACGAUGAUCACUGGGUGUUCGGGGAGCGAUCUCUGAGUACCGAGGCUAACGCGUGAAGUGAUCCGCCUGGGGAGUACGGUCGCAAGAUUAAAACUCAAAGGAAUUGACGGGGACCCGCACAAGCGGUGGAUGAUGUGGAUUAAUUCGAUGCAACGCGAACAACCUUACCUACCCUUGACAUGUCCGGAAGCCCGGUGAGAGCUGGGGGUGCCCGAAAGGGAACCGGAACACAGGUGCUGCAUGGCUGUCGUCAGCUCGUGUCGUGAGAUGUUGGGUUAAGUCCCGCAACGAGCGCAACCCUUGUCCCUAGUUGCUACGCAAGGGCACUCUAGGGAGACUGCCGGUGACAAACCGGAGGAAGGUGGGGAUGACGUCAAGUCCUCAUGGCCCUUAUGG